UACAGAGGGUGCGAGCGUUAAUCGGAAUUACUGGGCGUAAAGCGCGCGUAGGCGGCCUUGCAAGUCGGGUGUGAAAUCCCCAGGCUUAACCUGGGAACUGCAUUCGAGACUGCAUUGCUAGAGUAUGGGAGAGGGAAGUGGAAUUUCCGGUGUAGCGGUGAAAUGCGUAGAUAUCGGAAGGAACAUCAGUGGCGAAAGCGACUUCCUGGACCAAUACUGACGCUCAUGUGCGAAAGCGUGGGGAGCAAACAGG
Molecule: ribosomal RNA, 253 nt
Filed under: uncultured bacterium
Lineage: Bacteria
Description: partial 16S ribosomal RNA
Rfam family: Bacterial small subunit ribosomal RNA
Source: RNAcentral